This 429-nucleotide ribosomal RNA is filed under the name Actinomycetes bacterium. RNAcentral's name for it is "Actinobacteria bacterium partial 16S ribosomal RNA". It matches the Rfam family "Bacterial small subunit ribosomal RNA", at positions 355 to 776 of the family's 1533-position model. The record is from RNAcentral. Lineage: Bacteria; Bacillati; Actinomycetota; Actinomycetes.
UAGGGAAUCUUCCGCAAUGGGCGAAAGCUUGACGGAGCAACGCCGCGUGAGUGAUGAAGGUCUUCGGAUCGUAAAACUCUGUUAUUAGGGAAGAACAAAUGUGUAAGUAACUAUGCACGUCUUGACGGUACCUAAUCAGAAAGCCACGGCUAACUACGUGCCAGCAGCCGCGGUAAUACGUAGGUGGCAAGCGUUAUCCGGAAUUAUUGGGCGUAAAGCGCGCGUAGGCGGUUUUUUAAGUCUGAUGUGAAAGCCCACGGCUCAACCGUGGAGGGUCAUUGGAAACUGGAAAACUUGAGUGCAGAAGAGGAAAAUGGAAUUCCAUGUGUAGCGGUGAAAUGCGCAGAGAUAUGGAGGAACACCAGUGGCGAAGGCGACUUUCUGGUCUGUAACUGACGCUGAUGUGCGAAAGCGUGGUGAUCAAACAGG